RNAcentral lists this ribosomal RNA (1116 nucleotides) under Bacteroidetes bacterium oral taxon 365. RNAcentral describes it as "bacterial SSU rRNA". It matches the Rfam family "Bacterial small subunit ribosomal RNA", at positions 28 to 1154 of the family's 1533-position model. The record is from RNAcentral. Lineage: Bacteria; Pseudomonadati; Bacteroidota.
GAUGAACGCUAGCGGCAGGCCUAACACAUGCAAGUCGAGGGGCAACGAGAUGGUAGCAAUACCAUUGUCGGCGACCGGCGAACGGGUGCGUAACGCGUGAACAACUUGCCGGACACAGGGGGAUAAUCGUCGGAAACGUCGUCUAAUAUCCCAUAACAUUGACAUGGGCCUCCAUGUUGAUUGAAAGCAAUUAUGCGGUGUCUGAUAGGUUCGCGUGACAUUAGCUAGUCGGUGGGGCAACGGCCCACCGAGGCGACGAUGUCUAGGGGUUCUGAGAGGAAGGCCCCCCACACUGGGACUGAGACACGGCCCAGACUCCUACGGGAGGCAGCAGUGAGGGAUAUUGGACAAUGGGCGGAAGCCUGAUCCAGCCAUGCCGCGUGAAGGAAUAAGGUCCUAUGGGUCGUAAACUUCUUUUGACGCAGAGCAAUAAGGGACACGCGUGUUCCGAUGAGAGUAUGCGUCGAAUAAGCAUCGGCUAACUCCGUGCCAGCAGCCGCGGUAAUACGGAGGAUGCGAGCGUUAUCCGGAUUUAUUGGGUUUAAAGGGUGCGUAGGCUGUUGGAUAAGUCAGCGGUGAAAUCACCACGCUUAACGUGUUGUGUGCCGUUGAAACUGUCUGGCUUGAAUGCGCUCGUCGUGAGAGGAAUGUGUGGUGUAGCGGUGAAAUGCAUAGAUAUCACACAGAACACCGAUUGCGAAGGCAUCUCACGAGAGCGUUAUUGACGCUGAUGCACGAAAGCGCGGGUAUCGAACAGGAUUAGAUACCCUGGUAGUCCGCGCUGUAAACGAUGAUGACUAACUGUUGGUUCCAAUGGGAUCAGUGGUCAAGCGAAAGCGUUAAGUCAUCCACCUGGGGAGUACGGCCGCAAGGCUGAAACUCAAAGGAAUUGACGGGGGCCCGCACAAGCGGAGGAACAUGUGGUUUAAUUCGAUGAUACGCGAGGAACCUUACCCGGGCUCGAACGGCGGAUGAAUAUGUUUGAGAGAGCAUAGUCGCAAGACAUCGUCGAGGUGCUGCAUGGUUGUCGUCAGCUGUGCCGUGAGGUGUCGGCUAAGUGCCAUACGAGCGCACCCUGCCGUAGUGCAUAGGAUAGCUGGACUCGUCGGACGCACG